RNAcentral lists this transfer RNA (83 nucleotides) under Streptomyces nitrosporeus. Its description in RNAcentral is "tRNA-Leu". Lineage: Bacteria; Bacillati; Actinomycetota; Actinomycetes; Kitasatosporales; Streptomycetaceae. The record is from RNAcentral.
GCGGGUCCGGGCGCCACGGGUUCCGGGGCCGCGGGCUCAGGUUUCGCGGGCUCAGGCACCGGUCGCGGUGCGGCGGUCCCGCC